Molecule: long non-coding RNA, 180 nt
Organism: Ostrea edulis (European flat oyster)
Lineage: Eukaryota; Metazoa; Mollusca; Bivalvia; Ostreida; Ostreidae
Exons: 3
Source: RefSeq, a predicted model, not a curated record
GAUGUAGCAGUCAUUGUAUAACACCUCACGUGUGUGAUCACGUGAACGGAACUUGUCUUGGAGGAUGCGCCAUCGGAUGGACAAAUGAUACAUGUGUGGUUGUUGAUGUGGAUUACUGCGUUGACUGGACCCCAUCGUAUGCGUCCGUAAUCUAUCAUAAUGUAACAUGGAGAAAAGAGG